CGCCUGGGGAGUACGGGUGAGGUAACGGCUCACCAAGGCAUCGACGGGUAGCUGGUCUGAGAGGAUGAUCAGCCACACUGGGACUGAGACACGGCCCAGACUCCUACGGGAGGCAGCAGUAGGGAAUAUUGCACAAUGGGCGAAAGCCUGAUGCAGCAACGCCGCGUGCGGGAAGAAGGCCCUAGGGUUGUAAACCGCUUUCAGCAGGGAAGAAAAUGACGGUACCUGCAGAAGAAGGUGCGGCCAACUACGUGCCAGCAGCCGCGGUGACACGUAGGCACCAAGCGUUGUCCGGAUUUAUUGGGCGUAAAGAGCUCGUAGGCGGUUCAGUUAGUCGGGUGUGAAAACUCUGGGCUCAACCCAGAGACGCCACUCGAUACUGCUGUGACUAGAGUGCGGUAGGGGAGCGGGGAAUUCCUAGUGUAGCGGUGAAGUGCGCAGAUAUUAGGAGGAACACCAGUGGCGAAGGCGCCGCUCUGGGCCGUAACUGACGCUGAGGAGCGAAAGCGUGGGUAGCAAACAGGAUUAGAUACCCUGGUAGUCCACGCCGUAAACGUUGGGCACUAGGUGUGGGUCUCAACCAACGAGAUCCGCGCCGUCGCUAACGCAUUAAGUGCCCCGCCUGGGGAGUACGG
This 635-nucleotide ribosomal RNA is filed under the name uncultured Actinomycetes bacterium. RNAcentral describes it as "bacterial SSU rRNA". It matches the Rfam family "Bacterial small subunit ribosomal RNA", at positions 234 to 885 of the family's 1533-position model. Lineage: Bacteria; Bacillati; Actinomycetota; Actinomycetes. The record is from RNAcentral.